AUUACUGACACGCCUAGACAAUGAAUAUUAAUUUUAAUAAAAAUGGUGGCUAUGCUGAAGAAAAAUCCAUUGAAUCUUCUUUCCAUUAAUAAGUUAUUCAAAGACUUCAAGCUAGCCAAUGACAGCAGCCACGAACACUGUACAGCAGCUACACCUGUAAUUGCUGUAAAAGUUGUUAAUUGCAUGAUUUCCAUCAAGAGUAGAUUAUUAGUUAAUUUUAUUAUAUAUUACAGUUUUGAUUUGGUAAAGAUCAGUUGGGUACAAUAUACAAUGACGGGUUCUGUGAUUUCAAAAAGUAUUCAUUACACAAUCACUUAACGCUCAAGAGUCUGUUGGUAAGGUUUUGUGGUUUCUAUGAGACCCAUCGUGGUACGUAGAUCUACUCAGUUAACAAAAGUGACAGGAGGUUUCUGUUCCGUGAGCUUGAGUCUAUUUUCUACCUUUUACUGAUCACCACUCAUUAUUGUAAUAAUUAUUAUUAGAUGGUCACAGUAAGAGUGCAAAUGGUUCAUUAUUGCCUGGCCAAGGAUUGGAUUGUUUGCUAGUAUUUAAAUGGACACAUUUCAAUAGACUAAGUGUUUAAAAGCCAUUACUACAAACUUAGGGAAUGUACGACUUACCUGAUGAUACAAUAGACUGGCUGACUCAAUUUCAAGAAGUAAAACAUAAGCACAUAACUGAAUCCCUUUUGAGCUCAAUUCAAAUUUCAUAUGAUAUACAGCACAUUUAGAUGUGGGAAAGAUCAACUGGUUAAAAGAGUUUGAGUUAAAUUACUUUUUAUUUUAAUAUUUUUACGACCUUUGCCUCAAGAUCAUUCCUAUAAUUAUUUUUACCCCCAUUAUGUAUUUACAGUGUAUUCACACUUGCAUUUCUUCUAUACACAUUGUAUGGGAGAAAUUACAAUUAAAACCAUUAAUAUUACUCCAAUAUCUGUGAUUAAAAUGUUUUAACAAUCAACCCUACCACUAAUCUAAAAGGAUGAGAAGGUAGAGAGGUCUUCUAUAAUUUUUAAUAAAAAUCAAACUGUGCAUGCAAGGUGGUAUAAACAAUCUGUUUACACGAGCUAAUACGCUUGUUAAAAAUAGCCAUAGCUCAAAAAAUUUUAGUAGGAGUCAGCUCAAACUUUAUACAUAGCAUAAAGACAUCAAUAUUUAUCAGAAAAUGUAAUAAAAAUUUGGAGUAAUUUCAGAGUCAAUUUUUAAACCAUAGUAUUUUUCAGACUUUCGUCAAUUUUUAAAAAUGGUCAUAACUUGAAAAUUGAAAGUCAGAAUGAGCUCAAACUUUCUGCAGAGCAUAUGGGUAUCAAUGUGUAUCGGAAAUUGUAAUAAAAAUUUAAGGUGAUUGUGAAGUCAUUGUUUAAACCAUUGGCUUUGCUUUUUUUGGAAAAAAGACUUCUCCAGUAUAUUCCAAAUGCAUUGUAAGAUAGAAUAUAGCUAUGAAUGCACGUGGUGAAAACAAUCUUAGGAUAUUUCUAAAACUAUAAUUGUGCUUGUUUUAAUUUUUGAGGUCAGUUGUGGUAAAUUGGAUAGUUUGCUUCUCCAACUGACUAAAGUCAGUUAUUUUGGUUUGGAUUUCCUCAAUACAUUUCUCACUACAUUCCCUCUAUUCACAACUUCACAGAAUGUAUUGGACUAUCUUGUUAAAG
Amphimedon queenslandica is the source of this 1645-nucleotide long non-coding RNA. RefSeq lists it as uncharacterized. The transcript is spliced from 5 exons. Lineage: Eukaryota; Metazoa; Porifera; Demospongiae; Haplosclerida; Niphatidae. The record is from RefSeq and is a predicted model, not a curated record.